This is a long non-coding RNA of Cryptomeria japonica (Japanese cedar), 894 nucleotides long. RefSeq lists it as uncharacterized. The record is from RefSeq and is a predicted model, not a curated record. Lineage: Eukaryota; Viridiplantae; Streptophyta; Pinopsida; Cupressales; Cupressaceae. The transcript is spliced from 2 exons.
UCUUUCCCUGGAAAAAUUUGAGAAUACUUAUUCCUAAUGGAAACAUCCUUUGCAUUUCCCUGCAAGAAAACUUCGUCAAAGUCUACUCUCCAGUCUUUCCUCUACUUUUCCUUCCUCACCCGUUUCCUUCUUUUUAAGCCCAUCUCUGCUUCAUAUAUUCACAAGCUUCUCAAGUUCCAUUCACAGCCAAUCUUCCUCUACAGAAAGCAACACAGUUGUUUGUUGUGGGGUAAAAAUGGCACUGAACAGAGGUUAUAUUAUCAUGUUGGUGGUGCUCAUCAUUGCAAUUGUUCUUCCACAUAUUUGUUCUGCCGAUACCCAUAGCCCAGCUCCUGGCCCAGCCAACCAUGGAAUUGGGAUUGGGCAAGGCAUUGAAGGAUACAUGUUUAUGAUGGUCGCCUUGGUGUUUGGCUAUCUUCUCAAUGGUCUGUUUUGAACAGGCUAUGACUAUACUUCCACUAUGAAUAAAUCUGUAUAUUGAGAUAUUCAUUUCUAUAUUGUCUUUCAGUUCUCACACAUUUGUGUGAAGCAGUCAGCUUCAUUUAAAUUCUACUCUAAUAAAUGUGGUAAUGUUCAGUGCCAUUUCUCAUAUAGAAUGGCAGGACUUGCUUAUGAUUAUAUAUUUUAACAAGAAUUCUUCUAUUCUAGCCCAAGUUGGGAAUAGAUUAAACUUGAUGAUCUCAUCUUCUCCAUUUAUGUUUUGAACAUUAUUUCUCUCUGGUUUACAUGUUUAAGUAAAAGUAGGGUUUUUUCUGACGUUUUCGUUUCAGAUGGUUUUUCUUGCAACAUCUUCUCCUUUGUGGUGACCCAUCUGAAACACAAUUCCACAGAGAGGAGACCGAAAUUAAGUUGUAGAGUGAAGUUUUUGUACAGUUAUAAAUCGAUAUUCAAACU